RNAcentral lists this ribosomal RNA (253 nucleotides) under uncultured bacterium. Its description in RNAcentral is "partial 16S ribosomal RNA". It matches the Rfam family "Bacterial small subunit ribosomal RNA", at positions 524 to 776 of the family's 1533-position model. The record is from RNAcentral.
UACGUAGGCAGCAAGCGUUGUUCGGAAUUACUGGGCGUAAAGAGUGUGUAGGUGGUGUCGUAAGUUUGGUGUGAAAUCUCCCGGCUUAACUGGGAGGGUGCGCUGGAGACUGCGAUGCUGGAGUAUGGGAGAGGAAAGCGGAAUUCCUGGUGUAGCGGUGAAAUGCGUAGAGAUCAGGAGGAACACCUGCGGUGUAGACGGCUUUCUGGACCAUUACUGACGCUGAGACGCGAAAGCGUGGGGAGCAAACAGG